This 253-nucleotide ribosomal RNA is filed under the name uncultured bacterium. Its description in RNAcentral is "partial 16S ribosomal RNA". It matches the Rfam family "Bacterial small subunit ribosomal RNA", at positions 524 to 776 of the family's 1533-position model. The record is from RNAcentral.
UACGUAGGGUCCGAGCGUUGUCCGGAAUUAUUGGGCGUAAAGGGCUCGUAGGCGGUUCGUCACGUCGGGAGUGAAAACCCAGGGCUCAACCCUGGGCCUGCAUUCGAUACGGGCAGACUAGAGUUCGGUAGGGGAGACUGGAAUUCCUGGUGUAGCGGUGAAAUGCGCAGAUAUCAGGAGGAACACCGGUGGCGAAGGCGGGUCUCUGGGCCGAAACUGACGCUGAGGAGCGAAAGCGUGGGGAGCAAACAGG